This 468-nucleotide ribosomal RNA is filed under the name uncultured bacterium. Its description in RNAcentral is "partial 16S ribosomal RNA". It matches the Rfam family "Bacterial small subunit ribosomal RNA", at positions 28 to 507 of the family's 1533-position model. The record is from RNAcentral.
GACGAACGCUGGCGGCGUGCUUAACACAUGCCAGUCGAACGGAAAGGCCCUGCUUUUGUGGGGUGCUCGAGUGGCGAACGGGUGAGUAACACGUGAGUAACCUGCCCUUGACUUUGGGAUAACUUCAGGAAACUGGGGCUAAUACCGGAUAGGAGCUCCUGCUGCAUGGUGGGGGUUGGAAAGUUUCGGCGGUUGGGGAUGGACUCGCGGCUUAUCAGCUUGUUGGUGGGGUAGUGGCUUACCAAGGCUUUGACGGGUAGCCGGCCUGAGAGGGUGACCGGCCACAUUGGGACUGAGAUACGGCGCAGACUCCUACGGGAGGCAGCAGUGGGGAAUAUUGCACAAUGGGCGGAAGCCUGAUGCAGCAACGCCGCGUGCGGGAUGACGGCCUUCGGGUUGUAAACCGCUUUCGCCUGUGACGAAGCGUGAGUGACGGUAAUGGGUAAAGAAGCACCGGCUAACUACGUG